GACGAACGCUGGCGGCGUGCUUAACACAUGCAAGUCGAACGGAAAGGCCCUGCUUUUGUGGGGUGCUCGAGUGGCGAACGGGUGAGUAACACGUGAGUAACCUGCCCUUGACUUUGGGAUAACUUCAGGAAACUGGGGCUAAUACCGGAUAGGAGCUCCUGCUGCAUGGUGGGGGUUGGAAAGUUUCGGCGGUUGGGGAUGGACUCGCGGCUUAUCAGCUUGUUGGUGGGGUAGUGGCUUACCAAGGCUUUGACGGGUAGCCGGCCUGAGAGGGUGACCGGCAAGGUGGGGAUUGAGGUACGGCACAGAAUGCGACGGGAGGAAGCAGUGGGGAAGAUUGCACGAUGGGAGGAAGCCUGAUGCAGUAAAGCCGCGCGCGGGAUGACGGCGUUCGGGUUGGAAAGUGAUUUGGAAUGGGACGAAGCGUGAAUGACGGGCAGGGGGAAAGAAGCAAAGGCGAAAUAAGGG
This 468-nucleotide ribosomal RNA is filed under the name uncultured bacterium. RNAcentral's name for it is "partial 16S ribosomal RNA". It matches the Rfam family "Bacterial small subunit ribosomal RNA", at positions 28 to 507 of the family's 1533-position model. The record is from RNAcentral.